This 200-nucleotide long non-coding RNA is filed under the name Lathyrus oleraceus (garden pea). RNAcentral describes it as "Pisum sativum (pea) long non-coding RNA (PSAT_LNC036306)". Lineage: Eukaryota; Viridiplantae; Streptophyta; Magnoliopsida; Fabales; Fabaceae. The record is from RNAcentral.
GAAAAAUAAAAGAUGAAUUGUUCAUCUUCCUAAACUCCACCCUUCACCCGCCUGCGACUCCACCCAAAAAUAAUCCACACGCUGCGACCACCGCCGCUACCAUCACCGCGACCCCUUCUUCCCUCAACCGCGCGGUCGCAAUCUCACACAUCUACUUCACUCUUCGUCACCGCCGAACCCCCGUUUCUCCGGCCACGAAC